ACAACGGCCGUUAUGAAGGCUUGCAGGAGCUGGCAAGACGUCCUGAUGGCGGGCGGUGGAGGCUGGGCAAGCGGGUGGCUGUGAAGGAGCUUCUGUGUGACCUGCCCGACCUGACCUUUGAAUAGUACGAGCUGAGGAAGAAGAAAUUCAAGAGAGAGGCCAGCAUCUUGCAAUGCCUGAGGCAGUGUCCGUUUGUGGUUCGUUUCGAAGGAGCCGUGGUGCAGGGACCCAACAUGUACAUCCUCAUGGAGGUUCUGGACGGGGGCAACCUCCAAGAAUUCAUCAGGAACAACCACGAUGGUGUACAACUUUGCCAUUCAAAUAGCGGACGGCAUGGCGUACAUCGCGUCCAAUCGAAUCAUCCACAUCGACCUGGCCCCGAAAAACUGCCUCAUUACUCGAAGGUUCUUAGUUAAAAUCGCAGACUUUGGUCUAUCACGAAAGUUGGCUCCUGAACGCUGCUGCUACCACUACCAGAUCGAUUUGCCGCAUCGGAAGCGUCUCAAAAUCUACCUUCCGAGCUUCAUUGCCCCCGAG
Molecule: long non-coding RNA, 537 nt
Organism: Hyalella azteca
Lineage: Eukaryota; Metazoa; Arthropoda; Malacostraca; Amphipoda; Hyalellidae
Exons: 4
Source: RefSeq, a predicted model, not a curated record